GACGAACGCUGGCGGCGUGCUUAACACAUGCAAGUCGAACGGAAAGGCCCAGCUUGCUGGGUACUCGAGUGGCGAACGGGUGAGUAACACGUGGGUGAUCUGCCCUGGACUCUGGGAUAAGCCUGGGAAACUGGGUCUAAUACCGGAUAGGACCACUGAUUGCAUGGUUGGUGGUGGAAAGCUUUUGCGGUUCAGGAUGGGCCCGCGGCCUAUCAGCUUGUUGGUGGGGUAAUGGCCUACCAAGGCGACGACGGGUAGCCGACCUGAGAGGGUGAUCGGCCACACUGGGACUGAGACACGGCCCAG
Molecule: ribosomal RNA, 306 nt
Filed under: uncultured bacterium
Lineage: Bacteria
Description: bacterial SSU rRNA
Rfam family: Bacterial small subunit ribosomal RNA
Source: RNAcentral